This is a long non-coding RNA of Populus nigra (black poplar), 2751 nucleotides long. RefSeq lists it as uncharacterized. The record is from RefSeq and is a predicted model, not a curated record. Lineage: Eukaryota; Viridiplantae; Streptophyta; Magnoliopsida; Malpighiales; Salicaceae. The transcript has 2 exons.
CUCAAUGAGUCACAGGACGGAGAUUGCUGGAACAUCAACUGAUCAGCUGAUGAACAAGGGAGAUCAUGGUUCGGUUGACACUAACAAGUUAUUAGCGUCCAUGCAAGAGGAGUUCAAUAAAUUGCGUCCUUUCUCCUAUGAGUGUUCAAUCUACAGGGUUCCUAAAAGACUACUCAAGUUAAAUAGAAGAGCUUAUACACCUCAAGUAGUCUCCAUCGGCCCACUUCACCUCAAGUGGUCCGAUGGAGACUAAUCGCAGUGUAAGAUUCAAAUUUUUGGCCCAAACCCCAAGUCCAAGUCAGCUCAAACCCAACUAAAGUUAAUAUAGAUAUAUAAGAAAAAGUUGCAAGAGAAUUAUUUUUCUCUCUUCCAAGUCUUAUGGCCAUCGUGACCCUCCCUCAUCAAACCAAGAAUUUUAGUUUUUAGAUCUUGAGUUUUGGGUUCAAGAAAGAUGGAAGUAGCAAGUAAGUGGUUCUCUAUCGUAUUACUUUCAAUUAUGGUUUGUUUAUGGAAAGAUUAAAGAAGAGAUUAGGUUCUAUAAGGAUUUGAAGUUUAUUUUGUUAAGAUUAAUUCAUGAUUAUUAUGGGUUUAAUGUUAAGUGAUUGAUUUUGAGUAUGUUGUUAAAAAUAAAGAUUCAUGAGUUGAUUUGUUUAAAUUGAUUUUUAUGAGUUAAGAAAUUCAUUUCAACCUUACUGGAAAAUCUGGACAGAAUGGUCUUGAGGUUGAAGAUAACAAAAUUUUAUUUUGGUCAUUGAUUUAUGAAAAUUCAGUUUAGUCCCUAAACUUUGGAAAAAUUUUAAAUUGAACCCUAAAUGUAUUUUGAGGUUCUAGAUAGUGUUUUUAUGAGGUUAAGGAUAAGGAAUCUUAGUUUGCUAAUUGAUUUAGAAUAUUUUCAGUUUGGUCCCUCAAUUUCAGGGAUUUACAUUUUAGUCCCUAAACUUUUAAAAAACUACAGUUUGGUCCAUGGUUUGUUCUGGAUAGAAUUGAGGAUGGUUAUGGGUGAAAUUUCAGUAUGAUUAUGCAUUUACAGUUUGGUCUAGUUUUGGUAAAAUUAUAUUUUUGUUAUUUAUAUUAUAUGUUUUGGAAAAUUAUCGUUUUAGUCCCUAAACUUAGGAGACUAAACCUAGUUUUCUUUCAUGCAUUGGAAUCUUUUAUUUGUGUUAUUUUGAGUAUAUUUCAUAUAUUUUUUGUAGAUUCUCCUAAAGAUCCUCAAUAGGUUUUUCGGAUCUUUCAUCUGAUAUUCCUUUUAAUCUAUAUGUUUCUGGGUGAGUGGAAUAAUCUUUAAUAUACAUAUAAUAUAAAUAAAUAUGUAUGUUGAUUAUAUAAUGAGUAUUAUUAGUUAAUCUCUUGAAUAUUUAUAUAUGUUGUUCUAUUUUUUGAGUACUCGUUUAUUCUUAAAUUUGCACUCGCAUUCUGUUGAACUAAAUUCUAUUUGAUAUGAUAUACAUUCUUUGAUGAUUAUACAAAUAUCUAUUAUGCAUUUAUAUAGGACUUGUUAGUAAAUCCAUGCUAACAGAGAGUAGUUAGCCUAUGUGCACAUAGUAUUAUGUAUACCUAGCUGGUGAGAGAGGCAUUGACUUGUGGCGACUGAUCAUCCCACAGUGUUUACCUUCGAGUGUCAUCUGGUCACCUUCGGGUGUCAUCUGAUCUCUGAAAUGUAUUCCACUACUUUAUGAUAAUAUGUAUAUGUAUAUGUAUAUCAAGAUAAAUCGACUUGCAAACUAUUAAUAUCUAAAAUGUAUAUUAGAUGUUGUUCUCUCACUGAGUUGGUUGAACUCACCUCUCAUUCUUAAUAUUAUUUCAGGUUCUUAGUUUCUGUUAGUAGGUGUACUUUGUUGAGUGUUCCUGCUUCUUUAGUUUGGUCGGAAUGCCUUACUUGUUUUGUGAGGCUUUCCUAUUAGUUUUGAUUCGAUCUCUUAGACGCUCCACUAUUACUAUGUUUUAAUUAAGUUUGGAAUUUUGACAAUGUAAUGAGUAUUAUGAAUUAUUGUUUUUGUUUUGAUUACUGAUGAGAAGUUUUGAACUAUCAUUUGAUUUCAUUAGUUUUGAAUAUUAUAAUAUUUUUGAAAAUUAUGAAAUGCUGUGUUUUUUUUAAAAUAACUUGUUCUUUUAAUAUGUCCGUUUUGAGGCUUAGCGUAGGUGAGGUGUCCUUUCGACACUGCUACUGCGUUGCUAGUCAUGAACUCGGGAUUCGGGUUAUGACACAUGGUGUGUAGGCUUUUUCAUUCAACAGACGCAGUUGAACAGGAACAUGAUUGAUACAACCUUGGUCGGAAAAAAGGGGGCAAUAUUUUCAUUUCUUCUCGCAUACACUUUGCUAACUUUGUGGGAUUCCAGCUUCAAUUGUCUUCAUACCAGAUAAAGAAAAUUAAUGCAGAACGGAAAGAGGAAGGCAGGCUACCAGUGCAUGUGAAGUCUGGAGAGUCUUUUUAGAAGUUUGCUUUAGAGCUUCUUCGAAGUAAUGAUGUUAAGGCUAUGGAGUUUGGGUUUCAUUUAAUUUGGAAUUAUAGAUAUCUAGUGGUUUGCAAAGGUGCGGUUAUCAGUGAGAGCUGCUUUGGUCUAGCGAUACUUUUCUUUGAUCAUAAUGAACAUUGUGCUGUUAAGGAAACUGUUGCGUGGUCGGUUAGUAACCCUUUGAUCAUAAUGAACAUUUUACCCCAACCUGUUUGUUUUGUAAGUUCUCUUGUGUUUUGGAUUUCGUAAAUGUUGGAUGUUUGGUUGCUAACACAUUAACAAGCUUUUAUUUUUAAA